RNAcentral lists this small nuclear RNA (311 nucleotides) under Chinchilla lanigera (long-tailed chinchilla). RNAcentral describes it as "7SK RNA (ENSCLAG00000021651.1)". It matches the Rfam family "7SK RNA". Rfam says of the family: 7SK was discovered as an abundant small nuclear RNA in the mid-70s but a possible function has only recently been suggested. The record is from RNAcentral. Lineage: Eukaryota; Metazoa; Chordata; Mammalia; Rodentia; Chinchillidae.
GGAUGUGAGGGCAAUCUGGCUCCGACGUCUGUCACCCCAUUGAUCUCCAGGGUUGAUUCGGCUGAUCUGGCUGGCUAGGCCCAUGUUCCCUUCCUCCCUCAACAGUCCGUGUGCAUCCCUCCCGAAGCUGCACACUUGGUCGAAGAGAACGACCACCCCAGAUAGAGGAGGACCGUUCCUCGGUGAAGGGUGUACGAGUAGCUGCAACCCCUGCUAGAACCUCUGAACAAGCUCUCUAGAUAGCAGACAGUCCAACUAAGAAAGGAAAAAGCCACUUAUCAAACCAACCACAUUCUCAUAUGCUGUAUUCA